Molecule: long non-coding RNA, 825 nt
Organism: Ostrea edulis (European flat oyster)
Lineage: Eukaryota; Metazoa; Mollusca; Bivalvia; Ostreida; Ostreidae
Exons: 2
Source: RefSeq, a predicted model, not a curated record
GAUAUAUAUAUGUUUUCUCUUAUAUAACACUAUUACGAGCAAUACGUAUUUAUCACUGUGUAAAUACCUAUACGGGGUAAACAGGGAUUCCGGCUAACAUCACGUGACAUAGAUCCGGGGUAUGUCUUGUUAUUUAUAGAUUAUGAGAUCAUAAUGGUCAGUAAUAGCACCAUGUAAAUAUUUAUAGAAUAUAGAACUCUCCAAUUUCAUUUGUUGUCUAAGUUCCCUCUCUUUGCUAUUGUUCAUAUUUUGAAUUGUGUUCUAAGAGUAUAGAUGUGUUUUCUAGAAGAUUUUCCCAGUACAUUUUGACUCAUGUAGAAUAUUCUGGACAUGACCAGAAUUUGGCUCUGUGUAAACUUAUACGGUAUUUUGAUGCACCAGAUGCGCAUUUCGACAAAUAAUGUCUCUUCAGUGAUGCUCAACCGAAAUGUUUGAAAUCCGAAAUAACUCGGUGUCACACAUAGGUAUGACAUUGCAAUUUUUGUAUAUUCUUUGCAUUAUGAUAAGUUUUGAAUAUUCUUAUCAAGUUGAUUAAGUUUACGUACGAUUAUUUAGUCUAUGAUUACAUGUAUUCAAGCGCAAUAGUUGAGUAAGAUAAAUCUAUUUAUCAUUUAUACCAUAUAGUAAUCAAUAGUCAAAUAUAUCUUUAUAAAUAAGCACUAUUAAGGGGAAUAACUCUUGGUUGUACACUGUGCUGAGCAAAUGAGUUUUCUUUGUUGAUAUUUUUAUACUAUAUGUUUUAAUUCAUGAUAUAUAUACCAUAUGUGAUAUUCUUCUUAUAUAUUUCAGAGCGAAUUAUAAAAGAAUACAAACUCUUAUUGAACC